This 253-nucleotide ribosomal RNA is filed under the name uncultured bacterium. RNAcentral describes it as "partial 16S ribosomal RNA". It matches the Rfam family "Bacterial small subunit ribosomal RNA", at positions 524 to 776 of the family's 1533-position model. The record is from RNAcentral.
UACGUAGGGGGCUAGCGUUGUUCGGAAUUACUGGGCGUAAAGCGCACGUAGGCGGCCCGUUAAGUCCGCUGUGAAAUCCUGGAGCUCAACUCCAGAACUGCCUUUGAUACUGGCAACCUAGAGACUGGAAGAGGUUAGUGGAAUUCCCAGUGUAGAGGUGAAAUUCGUAGAUAUUGGGAAGAACACCAGUGGCGAAGGCGGCUAACUGGGCCAGCACUGACGCUGAGGUGCGAAAGCGUGGGGAGCAAACAGG